RNAcentral lists this long non-coding RNA (1482 nucleotides) under Panax ginseng (ginseng). RNAcentral's name for it is "long non-coding RNA (PGIN_LNC007567)". Lineage: Eukaryota; Viridiplantae; Streptophyta; Magnoliopsida; Apiales; Araliaceae. The record is from RNAcentral.
CACAUAAGAAUUCAGAUUUGUGAAGUAGGAUUCAUGUUGCCUCUCAGAAUGCUUGAGUGCCUUUGUUUCUUUUCUUUUCUACCCUGUUCUUGAAACAUGUUGGACUAAGGCCUUGAUGAUAACAAAUUGUGUUAACACCAAAAUUUGAAAGUUAAUUUUUUUUUCUCUGGUGUCUAAACCAAAGCUUAAACUAAUAUAGGUAAUCAUUUAUCCCUUAAUAUAGUAACAAAAAUUCUAUGAAGGGGCUCGUGAUGUAUCCAAGUUAAUAUCUAGAGAUUUUGAAGGUCAGCAUAGUGGGGCGUUAGCCGAGCAGAGUAGCUCGAUACUCGACUCGAGAUCGGUUCGAAUAUGAUCCAAAGCUCGAAUUCGAAGUUGAUUCGAGUCGAAUAUGAUCCAUACUCGUUUUCUGUUUAAUGAUACACGAAUCGAAACUACUGAUGACUUGAAUGACUUGUUCCUCGCCUCAGGAUCAUCAACUGAAACUACUGAUGCUUACUCAUAUGCUGGCCGGUCCGGUUAAAUCCAAUGGAAUCCGCCUUAGUCUAUACCUAUACGGGUAGUGCUAUUCGGUUCAAGGUAAGCAGCUGAAGCAACUGCUGGGGGUACCUAUCCAACUCUCUCCGCCGCUGGCAUUCCUUGUUUGAGGCAUAUCGAUUAUAGAAGACAUUUGGGUUCGGACGCGAGCGAAGGGAAGCUAGGUACUAUGGUUCAAUGGGUGAGGAUGCUAGGUUACCUGGUUCUCAAAUCGGGUAUUGAACCCUCUCUCCCUGCAACUCAAUCUGCUUCUAUAUCCUCCUUUUGAGGUCUCGAUCUCGAACUCAAACUAAUGCCUAGCUGCCUGAAUCUCUGCUUUCUUCUACUACCAGCGGGCUAGUUGCUUUAGUUAUGUUAUAUCGAUCCCUUUGGUUGGAGGACGGAUCACGCUACAUACUAGAAAGAUGUUAAUCGCCGCAUUGGAACUACCUACCAUGAACCUUCUACCCCGAAAUCCCAGGGUUCAAGUAUUUUAUUUUUUCUCGAACCAUACUCGAUACCUGUUCGAUGGAUCAUAUUUGAAUACUGAUCUGAUCGAUACUAACAAGCUAAAUAUGUGAUAUUUGUAUCAAUCUUUAUAAUUUAUAAAGUGUAGUAUUAAAUUGUGUAAGCUUGUACUUGAAUAAAUCAGUGAAUUGAUUGUCAAUUAUUAUUACAUUCUUUGUAAUUUCUUUACAUAAAUAAAAGUAAAAGACAUAUAUAAACAUUAGUUCAAUAAUCAAUUUAGUAUGUAGUGGUUCAGUAUUAAGUGAAAUGGUUCAUAUUCGAAACUCGAUUUGAAGGCUCGUGAGUAAUUCGUUUUGUAAACGAGCCGAGUAGGUCCGAGUAAUGAUCCGAGUCGAAUCUGGCACAAAAUUAGAAAUUCCUUAUCGAAUUCGAGUCGAAUUCGAGCUCAAAUUUUUCGAGCCGAGCCGAAUCUGAGCAUUAGAGUGUUCGCUGAGAUUCGAC